RNAcentral lists this ribosomal RNA (253 nucleotides) under uncultured bacterium. Its description in RNAcentral is "partial 16S ribosomal RNA". It matches the Rfam family "Bacterial small subunit ribosomal RNA", at positions 524 to 776 of the family's 1533-position model. The record is from RNAcentral.
UACGAAGGGGGAUAGCGUUGUUAGGAAUCACUGGGCGUAAAGCGCACGCAGGCGGAUCGAUAAGUCGGGGGUGAAAGCCCGGGGCUGAACCUCGGAAUUGUCUUCGAUACUGUCGGUCUCGAGUCCGGGAGAGGUGAGUGGAAUUCCUAGUGUAGAGGUGAAAUUAGUAGAUAUUAGGAAGAACUCCAGUGGCGAAGGCGGCUCACUGGCCCGGUACUGUCGCUCAGGUGCGAAAGCGUGGGGAGCAAACAGG